GACGAACCGUGCAAACGUUAUUCGGAAUCACUGGGCAUAAAGGGCGCGUAGGCGGCUCGAAAAGUCAGGGGUGAAAUCCGGCAGCUUAACUGUCGCAGUGCCUUUGAUACUGUCGAGCUCGAGGGAGGUAGGGGUCUGUGGAACUUCCGGUGGAGCGGUGAGAUGCGUUGAUAUCGGAAGGAACGCCGGUGGCGAAAGCGACGGACUGGAUCUCUUCUGACGCUGAGGCGCGAAAGCCAGGGGAGCAAACGGG
RNAcentral lists this ribosomal RNA (253 nucleotides) under uncultured bacterium. RNAcentral describes it as "partial 16S ribosomal RNA". It matches the Rfam family "Bacterial small subunit ribosomal RNA", at positions 524 to 776 of the family's 1533-position model. The record is from RNAcentral.